AUAAACGAUCUCUUUAUAUUUUAACUUGUUUCUCUUUCAGUUUCUUUUUUCCUGUAACAGCUAACAUACAUGAAACUUCAUUCUCCAGGAUCUAAUUAACACAUCAUUUCAAGAAGAAUAGUGAAAGAAAACAAAUAAAUAAACAUUUCCCACACAGGAACAUAUUGAAAUAGAAACCUAACAUUGCUGUUUGUUAAAGGCUGCAGCUGAUGUUUGCCUAUAGACUCGUUCCAACUUCCAACAGCCAAACUCAUGUCAUGUCAGAGACAUUAACAGAUAAAUAUUGAGAUAAAUAUUGAGAUAUAGGUAUAAAUACAACCAUAAAUAUAUAUAUAUAUAAAUAUAAAAUAUGUGUGCAAAUAUAUGCCGUGGUGUACCAAAGUAACAGAGUGCAGUUAGGUGUGUUUAAUCCUGUUCUGCAUGUGUGGAUCUGACCCAAGUGGAUGAAUUACAGAGUCUGAUAGCAGCAGGAAGGAACGACCUCCUGUAACGUUCCCCUCAGACAGUGAAGUUGAAGAAAUCUAUUCCUGAAACUGUUCUUCAGAUUGUCCAGUGUGUUAUGGAGGGAGUGGGAGCCAUUGUCUAUGAUUGCAAGCAGUUUUGCCAGCAAAUGUUAAUAUGGAAUAAAAGUAAAACAUGAAGAAUAAAAGCAGUCUGGCUCUUUAAGAACAGAGAGGAUUUUCCUCUGUAGGUUUAUCUUUGAAUGCAGUAAAUCCGUCCUCACUAAUAGAGUUUACUGGAUCUGAGCUUCUAACUGAUAUGCCCCCUUUGUUGCUUUUGUCUGAUUAUGUUUAGGUUGUCCCACAGCUGACAUUUUUUAUGAAGUGUGCAGAGUAUUCAGAGAACCCAACUGACAGCACGACCUUUCUGAAACUCUUCAACCAGAACCUGCAGAGCAACAACAAAACAUGUUUCUUUUCUUUGCACAGUUUUAGUGCUGAUUGUUCUUUAAACACCAAACUGUCCAUAAAUGUUUUGAACUUUGAAUGCAGUCAAUACAUGAUGUGUACACUGAAUCCAUAAAGUGUCGAUGGCUGGCUGAGGUCUGAAUUCAAUGUUUCAUCAUCAGA
Oreochromis niloticus (Nile tilapia) is the source of this 1070-nucleotide long non-coding RNA. RefSeq lists it as uncharacterized. The record is from RefSeq and is a predicted model, not a curated record. NCBI's taxonomy places the organism in Eukaryota, Metazoa, Chordata, Actinopteri, Cichliformes, Cichlidae. The transcript is spliced from 2 exons.